Molecule: ribosomal RNA, 708 nt
Filed under: uncultured marine alveolate
Lineage: Eukaryota
Description: SSU rRNA
Rfam family: Eukaryotic small subunit ribosomal RNA
Source: RNAcentral
GGUAAAAAAGCUCGUAGUUGGAUUUCUGUUGAGAGCGACCGGUCCAUACCAUGUAUGCGUAUCUGGCUUGCUCUCGGCAUCCUCUCGAUAGACGUUGCUGCGCUUGAUUGCGUGGCGCGGAUCUCGGGACUUUUACUUUGAGGAAAUUAGAGUGUUCACGGCAGGCUUUCGCCAGAAUACAUUAGCAUGGAAUAAUACUAUAGGAUCUUGGUUCUAUUUUGUUGGUUUCUAGAAUUGAGAUAAUGAUUAAUAGGGACAAUUGGGGGCAUUCGUAUCAACACGUCAGAGGUGGAAUUCUUGGAUUGUGUUGCGACGAACUACUGCGAAAGCAUUUGCCAAGGAUGUUUUCAUUGAUCAAGAACGAAAGUAAGGGGAUCGAAGACGAUUAGAUACCGUCGUAGUCUUUACCAUAAACUAUGCCGACUAGAGAUGGGGCAUCGUUCAUUUACGACUUGCUCCGCACCUUAUGAGAUAUCAAAGUUUUUGGGUUCCGGGGGGAGUAUGGUCGCAAGACUGAAACUUAAAGGAAUUGACGGAAGGGCACCACCAGGAGUGGAGCCUGCGGCUUAAUUUGACUCAACACGGGGAAACUCACCAGGUCCAGACAUAAUAAGGAUUGACAGAUUGAUAGCUCUUUCUUGAUUUUAUGGGUGGUGGUGCAUGGCCGUUCUUAGUUCGUGGAGUGAUUUGUCUGCUUAAUUGCGUUAA